Molecule: ribosomal RNA, 509 nt
Filed under: Tetrops sp. IBE JGZ-3749
Lineage: Eukaryota; Metazoa; Arthropoda; Insecta; Coleoptera; Cerambycidae
Description: partial large subunit ribosomal RNA
Rfam family: Archaeal large subunit ribosomal RNA (bases 380-509)
Source: RNAcentral
GUCCUUUUGAUUUUAAUUUAAGGUCUAGUCUGCCCAUUGAGAAUUUAAAAGGCCGCGGUAUUUUGACCGUGCAAAGGUAGCAUAAUCAUUAGUUUUUUAAUUAAAAGCUGGAAUGAAGGGCUGGAUAAAAAAAUUUCUGUCUUAAAGUUAAUCAAAUGAAUUUUAUUUUUAAGUAAAAAAGCUUAAAUAAAUUUAAAAGACGAGAAGACCCUAUAGAGUUUUAUAAUUUUAAAUUAUUUAUUUUUAGAAAUAUAAAUUUUUAUUUAAAAAAUUAUUUAGUUGGGGUGAUUGAAAAAUUUAAAUAACUUUUUUUAAUUUGGCCAUUAUUAAAUGAAUUGAUGAUCUUAUAUUUUUGAUUAAAAGAUUAAAUUACCUUAGGGAUAACAGCGUAAUUUUUUUUUAAAGUUCAAAUUAAAAAAAAAGAUUGCGACCUCGAUGUUGGAUUAAAAUUAAUUUUUAGUGCAGAAGCUAAAAUAUUAGGUCUGUUCGACCUUUAAAAUUUUACAUGA